GACGAACGCUGGCGGCGUGCUUAACACAUGCAAGUCGAGCGGUAAGGCCCUUUCGGGGGGUACACGAGCGGCGAACGGGUGAGUAACACGUGGGUGACCUGCCCUCAGCUCUGGGAUAAGCCUGGGAAACCGGGUCUAAUACCGGAUAUGACUCCAUGACGCAUGUUGUGGGGGUGGAAAGCCUUGUGCGGCUGAGGAUGGGCCCGCGGCCUAUCAGCUUGUUGGUGGGGUGAUGGCCUACCAAGGCGACGACGGGUAGCCGGCCUGAGAGGGCGACCGGCCACACUGGGACUGAGACACGGCCCAGACUCCUACGGGAGGCAGCAGUGGGGAAUCUUGCGCAAUGGGCGAAAGCCUGACGCAGCGACGCCGCGUGAGGGAUGACGGCCUGUGU
RNAcentral lists this ribosomal RNA (394 nucleotides) under uncultured bacterium. RNAcentral's name for it is "bacterial SSU rRNA". It matches the Rfam family "Bacterial small subunit ribosomal RNA", at positions 28 to 421 of the family's 1533-position model. The record is from RNAcentral.